CAAAUACUACCUCCGUUCCAUAAUUCUUGUCUCAAAUUUACACAAAAAUGGAUGUAUCUAUUCCUAAAAAGCGUCUAGAUACAUGUAAUAUUUCGACAAGAAUUAUGGAACGGAGGGAGUAACAU
Brachypodium distachyon (stiff brome) is the source of this 125-nucleotide non-coding RNA. Lineage: Eukaryota; Viridiplantae; Streptophyta; Magnoliopsida; Poales; Poaceae. The record is from Rfam.